UGUCUGGACAUGUUCAUAAUUGUCACAGCCGUACACCACAUCGGACCUAGUUUUCCACCUGUUGUGAAUUAUCCUGCUCCAAAAGAAUCCUCCGAAAAAUGACCUCCUCAUCGUAUCGCAGCUCGGAUCGCCGUACCAGCCGCCGGUAUGACGAAGAUGGCGACCGGCACCACCGGCACCGGUCGAGAAGUGUGGACCGGUGCCACCGGAGCCGGCGCAGCCGUUCCGAUUCGCGGGAUCGCUACCGGCGCAAUCGUUCCGCUUCCCGGUCGCCGCGUGGACGGUCGCGCCAUCGGAAGGGCUCCACUGCGCCGAACGCCUCGCGCAGCCGGAUCCGGGUCGAUUCGCCGGAACCGAGCCGUUGCUUGGGCGUGUUCGGGCUGAGCGUGUACACGACGGAGCCGUACCUGAACGAUAUCUUCUGCCACUUUGGCACGGUGGAAAAGUCGGUAGUGAUCUACGACGCCAAGACACGGCUGUCGCGCGGGUUCGGUUUUGUGUACUUCAAGUCGCAGGCCGAGGCAUCGAUCGCGCGUGCGAACUGCAACGGGCUGCAGAUCCAUGGCCGGCGUAUUCGCGUCGACUACUCCAUCACGGAUCAGCCCCAUCCGCCCACGCCGGGCGUGUACAUGGGCCGAAGGCAGUACAGCCACUCUCCGUCCCCGCGGAACCGAUCACACCACGAAGAGCAUCGACGCCGCCGCCGAUCUCGCUCGUAUUCCCGUUCGUCCUAUGAGAGUCAUUGAGGCCCGACGGUAGCAGGAGCAUGUGCCGGACAAUAAUGUAAGUCGAAAAAGUAGAAGUCUUGAACACAGAAAUGUCGAACUGUUCAGUAGUGUACACAGGGAAAAAGUCAAAGAAAUAACGAAAAUGUUGUUGUUAUUUGCCGUGUUUGUGCAAACUAAUUUAAAUGCUAAGGGAAAAGUCAAGAGAAAAGACACAUAUUUGUCUUUCCUUACAAGCAUGUGAAAAAGACUGCCUUUCAUUUGCAUCAAUGUUUUCCGGAAGAAGGAGCAUCGUGGGCAGUGUGGAUGCAACGAAAAGGUUUCAUUAUUUAACUUCAUUCAACAUCUCUCUGUACUCAUCGAUCGAUCUCUGUACUAUCUCGUUGAUAAUAU
Molecule: RNA transcript, 1118 nt
Organism: Anopheles arabiensis
Lineage: Eukaryota; Metazoa; Arthropoda; Insecta; Diptera; Culicidae
Gene name: transformer-2 protein homolog beta-like
Exons: 4
Source: RefSeq, a predicted model, not a curated record